RNAcentral lists this ribosomal RNA (435 nucleotides) under uncultured bacterium. Its description in RNAcentral is "partial 16S ribosomal RNA". It matches the Rfam family "Bacterial small subunit ribosomal RNA", at positions 29 to 507 of the family's 1533-position model. The record is from RNAcentral.
AACGAACGCGGGCGGCAUGCCUAACACAUGCAAGUCGAACGAUUGCCUUCGGGUGAUAGUGGCGCACGGGUGCGUAACGCGUGGGAAUCUGCCCUUAGGUUCGGAAUAACAGCUGGAAACGGCUGCUAAUACCGGAUGAUAUCGCGAGAUCAAAGAUUUAUCGCCUGAGGAUGAGCCCGCGUUGGAUUAGGUAGUUGGUGGGGUAAAGGCCUACCAAGCCGACGAUCCAUAGCUGGUCUGAGAGGAUGAUCAGCCACACUGGGACUGAGACACGGCCCAGACUCCUACGGGAGGCAGCAGUGGGGAAUAUUGGACAAUGGGCGCAAGCCUGAUCCAGCAAUGCCGUGUGAGUGAUGAAGGCCCUAGGGUUGUAAAGCUCUUUUACCCGGGAAGAUAAUGACUGUACCGGGAGAAUAAGCCCCGGCUAACUCCGUG